AGUGAACGCUGGCGGUAGGCCUAACACAUGCAAGUCGAACGGCAGCACAGUAAGAGCUUGCUCUUACGGGUGGCGAGUGGCGGACGGGUGAGGAAUACAUCGGAAUCUACUUUUUCGUGGGGGAUAACGUAGGGAAACUUACGCUAAUACCGCAUACGACCUACGGGUGAAAGCAGGGGAUCUUCGGACCUUGCGCGAAUGAAUGAGCCGAUGUCGGAUUAGCUAGUUGGCGGGGUAAAGGCCCACCAAGGCGACGAUCCGUAGCUGGUCUGAGAGGAUGAUCAGCCACACGGGAACGGAGACACGGUCCAUACUCCUACGGGAGGCAGCAGUGGGGAAUAUUGGACAAUGGGCGCAAGUCUGAUCCAGCGAUACCGCGUGGGUGAAGAAGGCCUUCGGGUUGUAAAGCCCUUUUGUUGGGAAAGAAAAGCAGCAGGUUAAGACCCCGCUGUUCUGACGGUACCCAAAGAAGAAGCACCGGCUAACUUCGUG
Molecule: ribosomal RNA, 492 nt
Filed under: uncultured bacterium
Lineage: Bacteria
Description: partial 16S ribosomal RNA
Rfam family: Bacterial small subunit ribosomal RNA
Source: RNAcentral